GCAGAGCAUCCUACGGGAGGCAGCAGUGGGGAAUAUUGCACAAUGGGCGCAAGCCUGAUGCAGCCAUGCCGCGUGUAUGAAGAAGGCCUUCGGGUUGUAAAGUACUUUCAGCAGUGAGGAAGGUGGAUAUGUUAAUAGCAUAUUCAUUUGACGUUAGCUGCAGAAGAAGCACCGGCUAACUCCGUGCCAGCAGCCGCGGUAAUACGGAGGGUGCGAGCGUUAAUCGGAAUUACUGGGCGUAAAAGCGCAUGCAGGUGGUUUGUUAAGUCAGAUGUGAAAGCCCGGGGCUCAACCUCGGAAUUGCAUUUGAAAACUGGCAAACUAGAGUACUGUAGAGGGGGUAGAAUUUCAGGUGUAGCGGUGAAAUGCGUAGAGAUCUGAAGGAAUACCGGUGGCGAAGGCGGCCCCCUGGACAGAUACUGACACUCAGAUGCGAAAGCGUGGGGAGCAAACAGGAUUAGAUACCCUGGUAG
RNAcentral lists this ribosomal RNA (473 nucleotides) under uncultured bacterium. RNAcentral describes it as "bacterial SSU rRNA". It matches the Rfam family "Bacterial small subunit ribosomal RNA", at positions 329 to 793 of the family's 1533-position model. The record is from RNAcentral.